RNAcentral lists this long non-coding RNA (1104 nucleotides) under Rhinolophus ferrumequinum (greater horseshoe bat). RNAcentral describes it as "lncRNA (ENSRFEG00010000461.1)". The record is from RNAcentral. Lineage: Eukaryota; Metazoa; Chordata; Mammalia; Chiroptera; Rhinolophidae.
CUCAUCUCCAAUUCCAAGCCUAGCUCAACGAUGAGCUGUGACCAAGUAACACAGCCCAAAAUAGAAGCUGCUCCACUGAGGGUUUCAGACUGGAAGAUGAUGCUAGGAUGAAGAAAAAGGAGCAGUGAGGCUGGAGAGGGGUGAAUAAAGGUUUGCCCCUUCCAAGGAAUGGGAGCUAGGUGAUGAGGGGCACAGAGAAGAGUCAGGUCCCAAAGGAAAUGCAGACCUGGGCCAGAUCACAUGGAGCAGCAUGUCCAUCCCAUCAGAUCCAGACCAAGAAAUGGAUUAGGACCUCUCUUCCGUACUAAUUACUACAAACCCUCUUCUUUCUGUCGUCAAAGAAUCUUCACAACUGGAGUAAAACUUCAAAGCAAACUUUGCGCCGCUCACCCGGUGAAGGGCGCCAAGCUGGGCGGUCAGCCUGGACCAGCUGGAUGGUCAAGGCCAGAUUCAGGCCCACGCUCCUACCUCAUCCUUAGGCAAUGCUGCCACAGCGGGUAGGAAGCUCAACACUGUGCCCUGGCCUGCACCCCGCGGCCGCUUGGCCCUCGGCUCCCAGAGGAGGGACUAGCCGCCGCACUGCGUUCUGGACCGGGCCCCGCGCCUCGGAUGCCGCUGGAGGCACCCGAGACCUGGACCACACCCCAUUAGGAGGCUAGUGCUGGCGAUCCGGGCCACGCCCCGCGAGGGGCCCAGGGCAAGCGGUCCCGCCUGGCCCCGGCCCAGCCGCCUUCAGAGAGAAAGUUGUUGCUCAAGCUUGAGGAAUGCGGAGCCACCGCGGCGCGGGAGGAAGCAGUGGGAGAGUACGGCCGCCCGCGGGCGGGGACCCCGCGGCAAACUGCACCCUAAUGUAAACAGCGCUUCCGGCUGGGAAGUGUCUCCGCCCAAGGGUCCAGGCGCAUCCAACAUCAGGAGGUGACAGUCACGCCCUCUGGUAGCACCACGUGAGGCUAGGAUGGCCAAGCCGAGGGCCCUGCCCCUGGGCAAUUGGGACCGGGCAACAGAGGCAGACCCAAAGACGGAGGCAAGAACCUCCCACUGGAAAACUCCAAGAAGGCAAGGAUUUUUGUCUACUAUGUUCAUGAUUAAUCUCCCAGUCUUUAA